UACGGAGGGUGCAAGCGUUAUCCGGAUUCACUGGGUUUAAAGGGUGCGUAGGUGGCUUUGUAAGUCAGUGGUGAAAUCCCGGAGCUCAACUCCGGAACUGCCAUUGAUACUGCUUAGCUUGAAUCAAGUAGAGGUGGAUGGAAUAAUACAUGUAGCGGUGAAAUGCUUAGAUAUGUAUUAGAACACCGAUUGCGAAGGCAGUUCACUAUGCUUGUAUUGACACUGAGGCACGAAAGCGUGGGGAUCAAAC
This 250-nucleotide ribosomal RNA is filed under the name uncultured bacterium. RNAcentral's name for it is "partial 16S ribosomal RNA". It matches the Rfam family "Bacterial small subunit ribosomal RNA", at positions 524 to 773 of the family's 1533-position model. The record is from RNAcentral.